AAUAUACGUUCUUCUAACACCCCUUUCAAAUUUGUUGCCGCUUCAAUGUCAGAAAGUAGCUUAUAAGCAAUUGAUUUGCCUUUAUCUUUUGUCUUUGUUGUUUUUUCUCCCAAUGAUGUUGAGGUGUCCUUUACAGGCAAUUCUUGUGAAGCUGCCUCCUGAGCCUUGUCUCCUCGAGUUUGCCUCUUAAAAGAAUUUCCUUCUCUAGUAUCAUCAAAAUUUCCUCGUCUUUUUUCUUCCAUCAAAGCUUCAUGUUGGCUCUUAGCAAUAUAUGCAUGAACUGAAAGAGACUCAACAGGAUCCUCCCAACCUGUUCUUCCUCAUAUUGUAGCUGCAGUUCUCAAUAACGCUUCUCGAGGUAAUUUCCCUUCUUGCAUUCUAAAAACGGCAGAAGCUUAAAACUCACUAGUUUCCGUACUUCCACCAAUUUCAUCAUCUACUCUAGCACCAUAACUUGCACUUUCUCGUGCUACUGUUUCAUGCUCUUUUAAGUAAUCUUGAACCAAUGCUCUCAUUAUUCCCUUGCCAAAAUUGGUUUGAAGAAGAUCCUCUCUGUUUUUCAAUGCUAUCUUCCCAUCUUUCCAGCAAAUAAUUCCCUGCCGUAUCAUAUUAUUAAAUUCAUUGCAAUCUUUUCUAGUGUGUGAAGCAUCAUCAUACCAAAUGCAUCUUUGUACAUAUCCUUGUUUUUGAAACAUUCUUCGAAUUAUUUAUAGAAGUAUUCUCUUCAAGUCUUGCCAAUUUGAUUUGAAGAUCUCGCAUUCCUCGUAUAAUUUCUUCCAUGCCCAUAUCUGCGUUCUUUGACAAGGAUGUCGAAGGUUGAACUGUAGGCAUUGUUGGUGGUGUUGUAUGUAUUGGAGCUUUGGGUGCUUGUACUAUUUUUGGAAUAUUGCUCCUAUCCUUCUUCUUUUAUUUUUUUGUAAGCAACCCCAACACAUCUUCAACGUUCUUCCACUUCGUUGUCAAUCCUUCAUCUUCUUCUUUGUCUUCAAGAAGGGGUUCUAAUUUCUCUUGCAAUUCUCCAUCAGCAGCUUGAAGAAAUAGAUCAACUUUCUUCGGCUCCAAUGUCAAUUUUUCUACCUUCGAUAAUUGAGAGUAUUGCCUCUCAAAUUCCCUUAGUAGCUCUGUUGCUUGUAAAUUCUUAUUGGGCCGUUCAAUCCAUCCCAGAAACAGCUUCUUAGUAAGCCGAUCAGCAUCUUCUAAGAAAUAUUUGUCUUUCAAUGCAUGUGAAAAAUCCUCCCAUAAAUUCCCACAACGAUCCGUAAUCGAUGUAAUAUGGUUCUUUAUCUCCGGUAUCAUGGUAAGUCCAAAUAGUGCAACCAUUUUCUUCUCAGAAACCCGAUUUAAUUCCAUUUCACGAACAUAACAUCUUAAAUACCUUGAAAUAUUCCUCCCAUCAAAUUGAUCAAUUUUAUUGACCACUGCUUGCAAUGCUUUGGUUGCCAAAGCUUCCUUUCGAUCAUUGCUUUGCUAUUGCUGCAUUGACAAUGAGAAGGCUUGAAACAAACUAGCAAUAGAUGGAUCCAUGUGCAUACCUUGUCCUUUAGAAGACUCCCAGCAGAAACUUCUCUCAAAAAUCCUUCAAAAUUUUUAUUUUCGUUUUCCAUAAAAUAAAGAUAAAAUCAACCAAAAUCCAAUACCUUCUACCUCAAGCUUUCACGUCGGAUUCACCACUUUUGUCGUAUUACGUGCUUUCCUGCUCGAGAACAUGCCGGGCGUCUGGCUGUAGAAGGUAGUAUGGAGAUUCGCCGAUAGUCAAGCAGUCUACCAGUUUUGACUGCUGGAAUAUAAACGACUGUAAUAAUGUACCGUAAAUCUAUACGGAUGCUCUUCGACUGCUUGUCGAAGUCCUUUUUGCCCCAGCCGGUAGGUCUCUAGACGUUACAAAGAACCCCGAACAACCCAAACAUUUAAUCUUCAAUACCGCUGUCGUAUUACGUGCUUUCCUACUCGAGAACGCGCCAGGCGUCUGGCUGUAGAAGGUAGUAUUGAGAUUUGCCGAUAGUCAAGCCCUCUAUCAGUUUUUGACUGCAGGAAUAUAAAUGACUGCAACAAUGUACCGUAAAUCUAUACAGAUGCUCUUUGACUACUUGUCAAAGUCUUUUAUUUGCCCCAGCCGAUAGGUCUCUAAACGUUACAGAGAACCCCGAACAACCCAAACUGUUAAUCUUCAAUACCCCUUUGUACUUACGAUCUUGUAUCCAGUGACUGUCCUGUUAGAUUAACCCAAUAAAUUUCAUUCACUCCGCAUACUCAAUCCUAUAGACACCCCUUUAAUCCUUCAAUCACAGACGUAACUCGAUUUUACAAAACAGUCAAGAGUAUUCAAACCCACUUCAUUUAAAAAUCUCGAUUCACCAUUACAACACUGACUUCAGCAGCGAUUGCCUUAGUCUUCCCAAAACUCCUUGAAGAAGAAAAAUCCAAAUUCUAUGUCUUUCCUUUCCCAACCUGAAGCAUGAAGCUCCUCUCUCUAAUUCCCUUGAUCUUCAAAAAACCUCCAAUGAAACCGAACUGGUAACCUUGCAAAAGCUUGAAAACUAGCUCCCCCCCGAUUCCCCAACAGAAAAAAACCUCUCCCCUCAAAACUAUAUCCCCACUAACCUUAUCCUCUGAAUUUCUUCAAUCUUCUGUCUUAGAUCCGGAAUUGGCUCCCACCAUCAAGCUUGGAUCCAAAAUUGGCUCUCGCCGUCAAAGCUUUCUCCUCCGUUUUUACCUUUAAGAAAUCCAUUUACCAAAAACAACGUUCCCUGAAACGGCACAGAGAACAGGACAGCCUGAAACAGAAUCGAACCCCGUAAUCAGGACGACAUUGAGUCGCCCGACCAAUUCAGGUCCUAUAUUGGGAAAGAUGCCGUGGUAACCUGGAUGUUCCCGUAAUUAGGUCAAAUUGGUCCUCGCGUCAGAUUGGCUAAGACCCGUAGUAAGACCUGGAUUUCCCAUAAUUAGACUACAUUGGGUUGACCGGCCAAUUCAGGUCUCAUAUUAGGUAAGAGGACCCGGAUUGGAUUAUCGAAAUUGGAUCCAAUUGGCUCCUCGAAUCCGUCGUGUGAAUUGGUCCUUCUCUUCCUGCUGACUUCCGUUAUUGGAAUCGAAUGGAGUAUUUCAAUAUGCCCCGGCUGACUGUAACGGGGUGAGUGAACCUGACCACUCAGUAUUUGUACAGGAAUUGGUCGAUGCUCCCAAUAUUUGAGGUAACUAAAUAUUAAUGAAAUUCCCCUUUCUUUUUAUUUUCACUAUAUACUCGUGUUACAACACGACAUCCACCCCCUCUAAACUUGUGCAUCGUCCGGUAUACACCAAUUUAUCCAAUUGCGGUUUGAUUCAGAAUAUAUCCCCUACGUCUUUGUCGAGUUCGUCUUCGUCACCUUCAUUAUCCAAAUCACUUUCAUCUUCUUGCUGCGGAAUCUCUGUACCUUCAUUAAGGUCUUUCAUAUUCAUCUCUGUGUGUCUUCGUUUAAAUAUUUUUACUCGCUUCCCUGCAAUUGGUAUUUUCAAUUUUGUACCAUCUAACUCCCGUACUGAGUAAGUUGCAUUAUCAUGAACAGUUGUUACAACAUAUGGUCUAAACCAACGUUUUGAGAAUUUCCGCAAAGUACUAUGUUGAUUAUCCAGACUAUUAUCAUAAAUAAGUACCCAGUCACCUUCCUCGAUUGCUUUUGGUCUCAAUCGAUGUUGCUUAUCGAAUCGCGCCUUGUUUUGUAACCUUGUUCUUUUUAACCUUUCCAAUGCUAUCUGGACAUCUUUCGUUCUUUGCUCCAAUUGUCGAAUCCUAAUAGCUAGAAGUUCUUCUCUUGUCAAUCCAUCUUCCCAUGGUAGCAUACUCCAAGUAAGUACCUUUUCUUCAAUCGGUAUAAUUGGUUUUUGACCUGUCAUAAGUUUUACUGGCAUAUAUCCUGUCACCGAACUAUGUGUUGUUCGAUCAGCCCAUAAUGCAAAUAACAAAAGCCGUGGCCACUCUUUAACUUUCCCAUUACAAGCUUUAACCAAUGCUUUCACAAUCUGUGGGUGACCACGUUCGCUUUUUGCAUUCCCUUCUGGAUUAUAAGCAGUAGUCAGUGAUAGUUUAACUCCACAUUUUUCAAAGAACUUACGAGCUUCUUCUGUAUUUAAUUCUUCACGAUGUGCAGUGAUUUUUCCUACGCCCCCGUAACGGCAAAUGACAUCUUCAAGCAAAAACCUACAAAUCUCCUCUAUAGAUUUUGUCCUCAAUGCUCUUCCUUCUACUUGAUUUGAUAAAUCUUCACGAGCUAAAACCAAAUAUCUCAUCUGCCAUAACCCAACCGGCAUAAUAACCAAAUCAACAACCCAUUUAAAAUGAAUAGCCAGAGGAUACGUAGGAUGAAGACCAUCUCGAUGUCGGAUAUUAGAAUACGAUUGACAAAUUUCACAUGACUCUACAAAUGAGAGCACAUCUCGAUACAUAUUUUUCCACCAAUAUCGUUCCUUGAGUUUAGCAAAAGUAGCCCAGAUUCCUCUAUGCCCUGCCCAUAAACUAUCAUGAAACUCCUUUAAUAAUUUUAGUUUUUCUUCCCUUUUGCCUAUCACUCGUUGUCGCAUCUCAAUUCCUUUCUUCGGUCUCUUCCAUAAGAAUCCAUCUCGAAGUAAAAAUCCAUAUGCUUUUUUUCUUAUUUGUUUGAACUUUUUUGUAGACCAAUUCCCCUGCUUAGACAAGGUAUUCAAAUAAUGAUCAAUAUCUAAUAAUUCUCCUUCAUAAGAUUAUUCAAGAAAUAGCUUGUCUUCUCUGUUGAGAUUUGAUAUUGAAUAGAAUUUCAAUCCGACAUCAUCAAUGUCUUCAACCAUUUCGUCCUCCCUCUCGUAUCUUGCUCGAGAUAGCAUGUCUGCUACUAAAUUGUCCUUUCCAGUGAUAUGCUUAAAUUCUGGAUUUAGUGACUUAAUAUAAGCAAUCCAUCUCAACAUUGCAAUAUCUGGCGUUGAACAGUUAAUAAUCAUUCCAAGCAAUGGCAAGCAAUCUGUUUCAAUUACUACUACUGUCCCAAUCAAAUAGUCCUUUUCAGCUUUCAUAGCCAAAACGACUCCCCAAAGUUCUCUUUUGACUUGCGAAUAUGCACGCUGACGAAUACUUAAAACUUUAGCCCCAAAUUGAACUGCAAAUCUACUCCCAUUCGAAUCAUCUUGAUCCACAGCCCAUCCAACGGCAAUUGGACUAACGUCUACAGUAAGAAUGACUGAUCUAUUGCACUUAUAAUCAACCUUCCUCAAUAUUAGAGGUGACAUCAAUAAUUUCUUCAAUCUUUGCAUUGCUUGAAUAUGCCUUUCUUCCCAUUUAAAUCGGUAACCCUUGCGUAACAGUUCAUAUAAUGGAUCUACUAUGUGAGCAAAAUGAGGGAUCCAGAUUCGAUAAAAUACACAUGCACCCAAAAACCUGUGAAUCUCUGUUAAAGAAUUACAAUCCUCUUUCAUCCUUCCAAUUGCAUCAACUUUAGUCGGAUCUGGUUAUCUUCCGUAGGAUCCACAUAAAUGUCUAACAAUUACAACCUCUCGUACUCCAAAUACGGACUUCAUACCCGAUAAUGUAAGAUGAACUUCUCCAAGCCGAGUUAAAAUCUUUUCACAAUCUUGUAUAUGAUCAACAACAUAUCUGCGACACCCCCUCGCAUCUAAAGUUUCAUCCUUGUCUCCUUCUCUGCACCCUUUUAUAGGAACAUCAUCUAGAAAAGGCAUAGUCUUUUCUGGCAUAAAAUCUCUCAAUACCUUAUUCAUCCCAUUCAUCAUAUGCGCAAUUGAGUUAGUCGCGCCUUGAGGAAGAGUGCACAUUCUAACCAAUCCAAGCGGUGUCCUCAUCGUUGUCAUAUCUUUACUUCCUUCGGCAAGUUGAAAUUGAUCAUAACCUGAAUACAAAUCACCCAUUGAAUAGAUCGCCCUUCCAGCAAACGCCUCAGCAAAUUCAUCCACAAUAGGUCCAAUUCCUGCAUUUCUGAUAAUUACAGCAUUCACCGACUGCAUAUCUUGAAUAAACCGUAGUGACUCAUUCUUCUUAGGUACCGUAAACCAUCGACUAGAAUACGGUGCAAAUGAAGGUUCUAAUAUUUUCAUCUUUAUCUUUUCUUUCAAUAGUUCCACCAAUUUAGAUAAAUGUGCCCUCGGUACUGGAAUCGGUCUUAGAUUCCAAGGUACAUGCGGUACAGUGAAGAUAACUAUAGGUGUUAUAAUAUUUGGAUCCACACACCCAAUUUCAUGAGAUUCGAAGGCAAACGAUCUACCUUGUUUAGCCAACAUCUUUUUGAAGCAAGUAAUUUCCUCCAGCAAUAAAGAACCAUCAGAACCAAUCUUUAAUUCUUCAAAAGUCUCUUCAGUAAACUGAUGUCCAAUACUCAUUGGAUCUCUUAAACUUGCUUCUUUUGAUGCUUCUUCCAUUUGUUCUUUAGAAUCCUCUGGUAAUGGUCUGGCAACAGGCUUUACCUUCUUAUCUGCCGUUUUAUAUCUCGUCUCUACUGUGACUUCUGGUGCUUGAAAAGAUUCAAGCAUGGUAUAAACCUCUCUCGAAUGAAUCUCAACAAUCUUAUCAUUAUCCCCUAACCCAAUAGAUGUAAUCAAUUCCAAUGAAUCUUCCAGUCCAUUUUCUUCAUAAACACCUAAAAUCCUCUCAUCAUCUUGCAAUGUACCUAUCUUGCGUAACUGUCCUUCAAUAUUAUAUAAUCUUUUUCUUUCUGUUCUUUUAAAAUUAUCAACUUUCUUAUACAUAAUAUUUCCAUUCUCCAAUAUACCAAUAAAACUCGCAUCAAAGGCACCUUCAUCUCGCGAGAGUACCUCCUCUUUUGUACCUCCAUAAUCUCGCUUUACAGUGGUACCUCUCCAAAAUCCUUAAAUCCUUCAACAAUCUUUGGCAAUGGUUUCUCCCUCAACCUAUCUCGAUUCCGUUCAUGGUUAGGAGGUACUAUUAGAAAUUCUAUAGCUUUCCUCCCAUCUUCGCUCCGUACCCUUGCAUAAGCAGAACCAUCGUCAAGUACCUUUGUUUCCAUCCGUGUUGCCGUGAUAUAAGGUUGUCCUAAAAUCAACGGAUAAGACGUUGUAUCUUGAACGAAGAAAUGUUGCUCCGUCGCAACAUCCCCAAUCCGAAUUUUGACAUCUGGAUAAGCUCCAUAUAAUUCGCCUCGUGUGUUAUUAGCUGCUCGUAUUGCCCAUCCAUGUUCCAUAUCAAUUGGCCAUUUUUGCUUCUUAUAAAGAUCUUUAGACAUGAGAUUUAUUUCAGAACCAUGGUCCACCAAGGCAACUAAUGGUUCUUCUAUAUCUCCUACCUUCACCAAUACCUCAGUAGUUGCCCUUGCCCAAUGCUUUCGAGUAUAAUGGCUCCAGGUUUCCAUUUCCUUGUCACUAGAAUCUUCGAAACGUACUCGUUGAUUAUACCUAUUCUUUUCAUUUGUUCAUUGCUUGUAAGCAAUAUCAACCUCUUCUUCAUCUCUACAUAUUCUUGCAUCAAUAGCAUGGCUCAUUCUAGUUUCGCUCAUUAAUUGCCUCUUUCGUUUAAUGCUGUCAAUGAUAACAUCAUGAAACUCCUUCUUUGUAAUUUCCAAAACUUCUUUCAAUGUGAAUUCCACCUUAGCGUUUAAUAUACGUUCUUCCAACACCCCUUUCAAAUUUGUUGCCGCUUCAAUGUCAGAAAGUAGCUUAUAAGCAAUUGAUUUGCCCUUAUCUUUUGUCUUUGUUGUUUUUUCUCCCAAUGAUGCUGAGGUGUCCUUUACAGGCAAUUCUUGUGAAGCUGCCUCCCGAGCCUUGUCUCCUCGAGUUUGCCUCUUAAAAGAAUUUCCUUCUCUAGUAUCAUCAAAAUUUCCUCGUCUUUUUUCUUCCAUCAAAGCUUCAUGUUGGCUCUUAGCAAUAUAUGCAUGAACUGAAAGAGACUCAACAAGAUCCUCCCAACCUGUUCUUCCUCGUAUUGUAGCUGCAGUUCUCAAUAAUGCUUCUC
This 7921-nucleotide long non-coding RNA is filed under the name Physcomitrium patens. Its description in RNAcentral is "long non-coding RNA (PPAT_LNC001531)". The record is from RNAcentral. Lineage: Eukaryota; Viridiplantae; Streptophyta; Bryopsida; Funariales; Funariaceae.